UUUUAAAUAAUUAAUUAAUUAUUUUUGAAUUUAUUUUUAAAUUAAAUAGAUUAAUAUAAGUAAAUUUAGGUUUUAGUAUGAAUUAAAAAUUAAUUAAAUAUUAUAAUAUUUAUUGUAAAGAAAUUGAAAUUAUUAAAGAAUUAGAAGUAAGUUUAAUUUAUUGUACCUUUUGUAUCAGGAGUUAUUAAUAAAUUUGUUAAAAUUUAAUUAAUCUCGAAUUUUAAAGAUUUAAAUUUUUAUUUUAGUUAGUGUUGAAUAAUCAUUAAUAAUAAAAAUUUAGUAGUGAAAUGUUAAUCGAUUUAAAUGAUAUCUAGUUUUUUUAGAAAUGAAUUUAAUUCAAUAUUUAAAUUAUUAUAUAAUUAUUUAUAUAAAUUAGUAUAAUUAUUUAAAUUAAAUUAUUUUAGGGAUAAACUUAAAGUAAAAUUAAUAAUUUGAUUAUUUAUUUAUUAUUUGAGUAUUUAUAAUAAUAGAAAUUUUUAAUAAGUAUUUUAUAAUUUAUAAAUUAUUUAUAGUUAAUUUAAAUUUAAAUUUUAAUUUUUUUAUAAAAAAGAUAUUAUAAUCAAUAAAAUAAAGUUAUAAUGAUAAUAUUAGUAAAAAAUAAUGUUUAAUUAAUUUAUUUGUAUUUAAUUUAAUAUUAAAGAAUUUAACAAAUAUAUUAUUCACCUGUUUAACAAAAACAUGGUUUAUAGAGUAUAAUUAUAAAUCGGUUUCUGCCCAAUGAGAUUAUUUAAUGGCUGCGGUAUAUUGACCGUACAAAGGUAGCAAAAUCAAUAGUUUUUUAAUUGAAAACUGGAAUGAAAGAGCUGAUGAAAUAAUAAUUAUUUCAAUAUUAAUAAUUGAAUUUAAAUUUUAAGUUAAAAUGCUUAAAUUUUUUUAAAAGACGAGAAGACCCUAUAGAAUUUAAUAAAUUUUAAGUAUAAAUUUGUAAAUAUAAAUUAUAUAUUUAUAUUUAAUUAUAUUUAAUUGGGAGGAUUAUAAAAUUUAAUAAACUUUUAUUAUGUAAAAACAUUGAUUAAUGAAUUUUUGAUUAUUUUUAUAAGUAAAAGAAAAAAUUACCUUAGGGAUAACAGCGUAAUAUUUUUGGAGAGAUCAAAUUGAUAAAAAUGUUUGCGACCUCGAUGUUGAAUUAUGAUAUAAUUUAAAUGCAGGAGUUUAAAUUGUUAGUCUGUUCGACUAUUAAAAUCAUACAUGAUUUGAGUUCAGAUCGGUGAAAGCCAGAUCGGUUUCUAUCUUUAAAUAUAUAAUAAUUAUUUUGUACGAAAGGACUAAUAAUUAAAAUAAAAUUUUUUAUAUAAUAGAAUAAAAUUAAUUAUUAUACUUAUUUUAUAUUUUUAAUAUAAUUAUUUAAUAAUUUUAUUAAU
This 1361-nucleotide ribosomal RNA is filed under the name Anterhynchium (Dirhynchium) sp. QHZ-2020. RNAcentral describes it as "16S ribosomal RNA". Lineage: Eukaryota; Metazoa; Arthropoda; Insecta; Hymenoptera; Vespidae. The record is from RNAcentral.